This 254-nucleotide ribosomal RNA is filed under the name uncultured bacterium. Its description in RNAcentral is "partial 16S ribosomal RNA". It matches the Rfam family "Bacterial small subunit ribosomal RNA", at positions 524 to 776 of the family's 1533-position model. The record is from RNAcentral.
UACGUAGGGGGCUAGCGUUGUCCGGAAUCAUUGGGCGUAAAGAGCGUGUAGGCGGCCCGGUAAGUCCGCUGUAAAAGUCAAAGGCUCAACCUUUGAAUGUCAGUGGAUACUGCCGGGCUAGAGUCCGGAAGAGGCGAGUGGAACUCCUGGUGUAGCGGUGGAAUGCGCAGAUAUCAGGAGGAACACCGAUGGCGAAGGCAGGUCUCUGGGCCACUACUGACGCUGGAGAAGCGAAAGCAUGGGGAGCGAACAGG